CCUACGGGGGGCAGCAGUGGGGAAUAUUGGACAAUGGGCGAAAGCCUGAUCCAGCCAUGCCGCGUGAGUGACGAAGGCCUUAGGGUUGUAAAGCUCUUUUGGCGGGGAAGCGGUACCCGCAGAAUAAGCUCCGGCUAACUUCGUGCCAGCAGCCGCGGUAAUACGAAGGGAGCUAGCGUUGUUCGGAAUCACUGGGCGUAAAGCGCACGUAGGCGGAUUUGUCAGUCAGGGGUGAAAUCCCGGGGCUCAACCUCGGAACUGCCUUUGAUACAGCAAGUCUUGAGUUCGAGAGAGGUGGGUGGAAUUCCUAGUGUAGAGGUGAAAUUCGUAGAUAUUAGGAAGAACACCGGUGGCGAAGGCGGCCCACUGGCUCGAACUGACGCUGAGACGAAAGCGUGGGGAGCAACAGGAUUAGAUACCCUUGUAGUC
This 429-nucleotide ribosomal RNA is filed under the name uncultured bacterium. RNAcentral's name for it is "partial 16S ribosomal RNA". It matches the Rfam family "Bacterial small subunit ribosomal RNA", at positions 338 to 795 of the family's 1533-position model. The record is from RNAcentral.